RNAcentral lists this unclassified non-coding RNA (220 nucleotides) under Hevea brasiliensis (rubber tree). Lineage: Eukaryota; Viridiplantae; Streptophyta; Magnoliopsida; Malpighiales; Euphorbiaceae. The record is from RNAcentral.
AAACAAAAACCUCAAGGCUUUAACGUCACAGAGGAACCAUCACAAGGCUUUGACCAACUGUUGUUCUUUAAACCAUACUGAAUACGUAUACUGCAACUAGUUUCAAAACAACUUCAUCACACAACGCGAAAGGAAUCCGCUAUCCUUUUCAAGUCGCCGUAAUGUCUCUUCCAUUGAAGACCAUUUGCGGUUACAUUGAAUAGGUAGAGACGAUUUCCUG